CUUAAGUAUGGGAAGAAUUCGAUCAAGUUGCUGUCACAAAUAAAUUGAAAUCGAAAGUUUUUCGAUAAAAACAAUUUUCAAAUAAUUUGAAGAGAACGCACAAAACUUUGAGGACUUUGACUUUGGGAAAUUAAAAACGUAAAAUAACUUUGGCAUCGACGACUGGAACUGAAGUGAAAUAAAACUUCACACCAUUUGCCCGAGAUCCCAGCACCUGUCCGCGUUCCCGCCUCCUGCCCCUGCUUGAUGCCAGCUGUCGAAGCAGCUGCUGCUGCUUAGCAAUGAAUGAAAUGCAAUUAAGUUGAUGUCGAUACAUGUUUAUAGUGGCUGGCUGGAUGCUUGAAUGCAUGCCUGACUGACAAAGCCACACGGAGCUAUUUUAGGCCACAACAACAACAACAACAACCGAAGCAACAACAACGACAACGUCAAGUACAAGUAUAGAACCUAUGAAUUGGCGAAGUGCAAAUGAAUUUCCAGCACUAAUGACGAGUGCUAUUGAGUUCGAGCUUUGGAUGUAGCUAUGCGAGAGUGUGCGCAUUUGAGCUCAUGCGGCAUGCACACAAGCAGAGCUCACCUUUAUUUUGACUGUUAAUUAAGCGAGUGCCGAAGUGACUUGCUGCUAACAAAAGCUGUCA
Drosophila mojavensis is the source of this 638-nucleotide long non-coding RNA. RefSeq lists it as uncharacterized. The transcript is spliced from 3 exons. The record is from RefSeq and is a predicted model, not a curated record. Lineage: Eukaryota; Metazoa; Arthropoda; Insecta; Diptera; Drosophilidae.